Small nuclear RNA from Panthera pardus (leopard), 107 nucleotides. Lineage: Eukaryota; Metazoa; Chordata; Mammalia; Carnivora; Felidae. The record is from Ensembl.
CUGCUCCCUUUGGCGACACAUAUACUGAAAUUGGAAAAGCACAGGGAAGAUUAGCAUGGCCCCUGUGCAAGGAGGGACAUGACUUAGGUGACUUGGAUCUUCCUUCG